CAAUAGCGUAUAUUUAAGUUGUUGCAGUUAAAAAGCUCGUAGUUGGAUUUCGGAUGGGACUUGCCGGUCCGUCGUUUCGAUGUGCACUGGCCAGUCCUAUCUUGUUGUCGGGGACUAGCUCCUGGGCUUCACUGUCCGGGACUAGGAGCUGACGAGGUUACUUUGAGUAAAUUAGAGUGUUCAAAGCAAGCCUACGCUCUGAAUACAUUAGCAUGGAAUAACACGAUAGGACUCUGGCUUAUCUUGUUGGUCUGUGAGACCAGAGUAAUGAUUAAGAGGGACAGUCGGGGGCAUUCGUAUUUCAUUGUCAGAGGUGAAAUUCUUGGAUUUAUGAAAGACAAACUUCUGCGAAAGCAUUUGUCAAGGAUGUUUUCAUUAA
RNAcentral lists this ribosomal RNA (379 nucleotides) under uncultured eukaryote. RNAcentral's name for it is "partial 18S ribosomal RNA". It matches the Rfam family "Eukaryotic small subunit ribosomal RNA", at positions 592 to 976 of the family's 1831-position model. The record is from RNAcentral.